Molecule: long non-coding RNA, 1459 nt
Organism: Homo sapiens (human)
Lineage: Eukaryota; Metazoa; Chordata; Mammalia; Primates; Hominidae
Gene: DRAIC
Product: downregulated RNA in cancer, inhibitor of cell invasion and migration
Source: Ensembl
AUGCCUCCACGCCUCUCCAUCUCCUCAUGAAGAUCUCUCUCCAGAUAGAGACCAUUUCCUCCCUAGAGGAAUCCUUGUACUAUCCGUAGGUGAGAACACUUCACCUCAUUACCUGGAUGUGGAGUGUUGAAGCUGGAAGGGAUCCCAGAGAUCUGGAAACUCCCCAGGAGUUUGGAUGCUUCAUCUCUGCUGAGACCCAGUGCCUGGCACUGAAGGUGCUCAGGAAAUACCUUCUGAAUGAUCGGAAGCCCCUGCCAUCUGCUAAACUGGAUCUAUGAUGACAGAAGCCGAGGAAUGUGAGGUUCAUCUAGAGAGUUCUUGUGAAUUUUCCAAGGGAGGCACCUGUUGAAUUCAGGCAUCGGCAUGUGACUUGAUUUGGUCAAUGAAAUGUGAGAGAAGUGACAUCCACUUUGAGGCAGGCACUUUCCGAAUGCCAUCAAGCUGAGAUGUGAAGCGGAAGUGAGGCAGAGGCUCCCUUCCUUUUGUUUGGCGCAGUUUUCUGUGAGAGAGCAGAGGUGGGAGAUGAGGGGACCUCUGCCCCAGUGUUUCUGCAUCCAAGCUCCAGCCUUGUUGAAGUAAGUGGUCAUUGAAUGCUGCUGUCCAGAAGGGGAUUCUCUCUCCUCGGCUGCUUCCUGAGUAAUAAUCAAGGCCAAGAUGGAGUCUCUGCAAUUCCAAAUACAUCCUGCUCUACCUGGAUCACUGCCUUGAGCUGGGUGGAAAGAGUUGACUGUUUCUGUAAUAGCAUACCUUGAGAUCUACUCAGAAAUGGCAGACUGGGAGAGAUGGCACUCCCACUUAUUCCACGUGCUCUCCUACACUUCCCAGCCUCCUAGGUGAGGGCUGUGUGGCUUGUUCUGACCAACGCAGGCACACCUUGGGGAUAUGCAGGUUCCAUUCCAGACCACCCCCAACAAAAUGAUGAAAUGGAGACUCCUGGAGACAAAGCAGAAAGGAUGCUUGGGGCGGAUUGCCUAGGAUUAUAUUCCAUCUCCAGCACUUACCAGCUGUGUGAUCUUGGGCAAGUGGUUUACCUUCUCUGUGCUUCAAGUUGCUGGAGAAAGGUGGGGAGAAAAAUAAGAGCUGGAAAACACAUGGCCCUAAACAGAGCCAACAGGCUGAUUGCAGGCCCACCCUCAGAGGCUGGGCCCAGGGCACCUCUCAGCAGGCAAGCAGAUCCCCUGGGGGAAACUCAGAGCGGCAGAACUCCUUCACCCAAACUCACCAUUCAGUUGAGAUGGGGUUUCUCCAGGUUGGUCAGGCUGGUCUCAAACUCCCGACCUCAGGUGAUCAGCCCGCCUCGGCCUCCCAAAGUGCUGGGAUUACAGGCGUGAGCCACUGCGUGCCCGGCAGCAGAUGAACUUUCAAUCGGAGCAAUGCGAAAUGCAGAAAUGAUAAUGCCUCACAAGCUGGUUGUACAGAUUGAAUAACAAUGUGAACAGAGCACCGAGUAUAAUCCCUG